CAGAGGAGCCAAGCGUUGUCCGGAUUGACUGGGCGUAAAGCGCACGCAGGCGGCCGUGCACGUGGGGUGUGAAAGCUGGCGGCUUAACUGCCAGACGCCACCUCAUACGGCACGGCUCGAGCCCGUGAGAGGUCCACGGAAUUGCCGGUGUAGUGGUGAAAUGCGUAGAGAUCGGCAGGAACACCCAGGGGGAAACCAGUGGACUGGCACGGUGCUGACGCUCAGGUGCGAAAGCGUGGGGAGCGAACCGGAUUAGAUACCCGGGUAGUCCACGCCGUAAACGAUGAAUACUCGGCAUCUGGUUCUCGAUUUUCGGGAGCCGGGUGCCCCAGCUAACGCGGUAAGUAUUCCGCCUGGGAACUACGAGCGCAAGCUUA
RNAcentral lists this ribosomal RNA (377 nucleotides) under uncultured organism. Its description in RNAcentral is "bacterial SSU rRNA". It matches the Rfam family "Bacterial small subunit ribosomal RNA", at positions 526 to 896 of the family's 1533-position model. The record is from RNAcentral.